GUGGGGAAUAUUGGACAAUGGGCGAAAGCCUGAUCCAGCCAUGCCGCGUGUGUGAAGAAGGUCUUCGGAUUGUAAAGCACUUUAAGUUGGGAGGAAGGGCAGUAAGUUAAUACCUUGCUGUUUUGACGUUACCGACAGAAUAAGCACCGGCUAACUUCGUGCCAGCAGCCGCGGUAAUACGAAGGGUGCAAGCGUUAAUCGGAAUUACUGGGCGUAAAGCGCGCGUAGGUGGUUUUGUAAGUUGGAGGUGAAAUCCCCGGGCUCAACCUGGGAACUGCCUCCAAAACUGCAUGACUAGAGUACGGUAGAGGGUAGUGGAAUUUCCUGUGUAGCGGUGAAAUGCGUAGAUAUAGGAAGGAACACCAGUGGCGAAGGCGACUACCUGGACUGAUACUAACACUGAGGUGCGAAAGCGUGGGGAGCAAACAGGAUUAGAAACCCGUGUAGUCC
Molecule: ribosomal RNA, 450 nt
Filed under: uncultured bacterium
Lineage: Bacteria
Description: partial 16S ribosomal RNA
Rfam family: Bacterial small subunit ribosomal RNA
Source: RNAcentral